Molecule: ribosomal RNA, 868 nt
Filed under: Pestalotiopsis versicolor
Lineage: Eukaryota; Fungi; Ascomycota; Sordariomycetes; Amphisphaeriales; Sporocadaceae
Description: LSU rRNA
Rfam family: Eukaryotic large subunit ribosomal RNA
Source: RNAcentral
UUGCCUUAGUAACGGCGAGUGAAGCGGCAACAGCUCAAAUUUGAAAUCUGGCCCUUGGGUCCGAAUUGUAAUUUGUAGAGGAUGAUUUUGGUGCGGUAUCUUCCGAGUUCCUUGGAACAGGACGCCUUAGAGGGUGAGAGCCCCGUACGGUUGAAUGCCUAGCCUCUGUAAAUCUCCUUCGACGAGUCGAGUAGUUUGGGAAUGCUGCUCUAAAUGGGAGGUAAAUUUCUUCUAAAGCUAAAUAUUGGCCAGAGACCGAUAGCGCACAAGUAGAGUGAUCGAAAGAUGAAAAGCACUUUGAAAAGAGGGUUAAAUAGCACGUGAAAUUGUUGAAAGGGAAGGAUUUGUGACCAGACUUUUUCUGGGCGGAUCAUCCGGGGUUCUCUCCGGUGCACUUCGCCCAGUAAAGGCCAGCAUCGGUUUUCGGCGUGGGAUAAAAGCAGUAGGAAUGUGGCUCUCUACGGGGAGUGUUAUAGCCUAUUGUAUAAUACCGCGCUGGGGACCGAGGUUCGCGCUUCUGCAAGGAUGCUGGCGUAAUGGUUAUCAAUCACCCGUCUUGAAACACGGACCAAGGAGUCGAACAUUUGUGCGAGUGUUUGGGUGUUAAACCCUCACGCGUAAUGAAAGUGAACGGAGGUGAGAGCCCUUACGGGUGCAUCAUCGACCGAUCCUGAAGUUUUCGGAUGGAUUUGAGUAAGAGCAUAACUGUUCGGACCCGAAAGAUGGUGAACUAUGCGUGGAUAGGGUGAAGCCAGAGGAAACUCUGGUGGAGGCUCGCAGCGGUUCUGACGUGCAAAUCGAUCGUCAAAUCUGCGCAUGGGGGCGAAAGACUAAUCGAAACCAUCUAGUAGCUGGUUACCGCCGAAGU